AAAAUUAUUAUUCAUAUAAAAUUUUAAUUUUAGUUAUAUAUGAUUGGAUAGUUUAAUCCAAUAUUUAUCUGUAUAAUUUAUUUAUUUUUGACUGCAUAAAUAAAAAUGAAUAAUAUGGAGAUUGAAUACGGAAGAAAAGAUAUGUGAGGCUGAAAAGAUUAGAUAUUCAACUCAUAAAUUAUUUUUUUUCAUAUUAUAAUACAAUAUUUCAUAUAAUUAUUUUGUACUUUGAACUAUUAGACAUAUUUUUGUAUCAAAUUAUAAAUAAUAUUCUAUACAAAUUAAACUAUUGAUCGUAUGAUGUUGAGAAUUUCAAGCGGCUCGUUUAGGGCUCGAGCUCGCUCAACUCGAAAUUAGGCUCGCUCGAGCUCGGCUCGAAUUAAUUUCAAUCUAAGCUUGAGCUUAAAUUUAAACUAGAAAUUAAUUUUAAGCCGAAUUUGAGCCGAGGUAAGCUCGCACGAGCUCGGCUCGUUUCACCCCU
This 481-nucleotide long non-coding RNA is filed under the name Ananas comosus (pineapple). Its description in RNAcentral is "long non-coding RNA (ACOM_LNC023958)". The record is from RNAcentral. Lineage: Eukaryota; Viridiplantae; Streptophyta; Magnoliopsida; Poales; Bromeliaceae.